This 112-nucleotide transfer RNA is filed under the name Aspergillus aculeatus ATCC 16872. It matches the Rfam family "tRNA". Rfam says of the family: Transfer RNA (tRNA) molecules are approximately 80 nucleotides in length. Their secondary structure includes four short double-helical elements and three loops (D, anti-codon, and T loops). Lineage: Eukaryota; Fungi; Ascomycota; Eurotiomycetes; Eurotiales; Aspergillaceae. The record is from Rfam by way of RNAcentral.
AGCAAGGUGGCCGAGCGGUCUAAGGCGUCAGGUUAAGGUCCACCUUAGCAAACAGCUUCCAAAGCUUCCUGAUCAUCGUCAGAUGGCGUGGGUUCGAAUCCCACCCUUGUCA